Molecule: ribosomal RNA, 482 nt
Filed under: uncultured bacterium
Lineage: Bacteria
Description: partial 16S ribosomal RNA
Rfam family: Bacterial small subunit ribosomal RNA
Source: RNAcentral
AUUGAACGCUGGCGGCAUGCUUUACACAUGCAAGUCGAACGGUAACAGCACUUCGGUGGCUGACGAGUGGCGCACGGGUGAGUAAUACAUCGGAACGUGCCUAGUAGUGGGGGAUAACUACUCGAAAGAGUAGCUAAUACCGCAUGAGAUCUAAGGAUGAAAGCAGGGGACCUUCGGGCCUUGCGCUACUAGAGCGGCUGAUGGCAGAUUAGGUAGUUGGUGGGAUAAAAGCUUACCAAGCCGACGAUCUGUAGCUGGUCUGAGAGGACGACCAGCCACACUGGGACUGAGACACGGCCCAGACUCCUACGGGAGGCAGCAGUGGGGAAUUUUGGACAAUGGGCGCAAGCCUGAUCCAGCAAUGCCGCGUGCAGGAUGAAGGCCUUCGGGUUGUAAACUGCUUUUGUACGGGACGAAAAGCCCUCUUCUAAUACAGGAGGGUCAUGACGGUACCGUAAGAAUAAGCACCGGCUAACUACGUG